GGCUCAGAUUGAACGCUGGCGGCAUGCCUUACACAUGCAAGUCGAACGGCAGCACGGGUGCUUGCACCUGGUGGCGAGUGGCGAACGGGUGAGUAAUAUAUCGGAACGUACCUUAUCGUGGGGGAUAACGCAGCGAAAGCUGCGCUAAUACCGCAUACGCCCUGAGGGGGAAAGCGGGGGACCGUAAGGCCUCGCGCUCACGGAGCGGCCGAUGGCAGAUUAGGUAGUUGGUGGGAUAAAAGCUUACCAAGCCGACGAUCUGUAGCUGGUCUGAGAGGACGACCCAGCCACACUGGGACUGAGACACGGCCCAGACUCCUACGGGAGGCAGCAGUGGGGAAUUUUGGACAAUGGGCGCAAGCCUGAUCCAGCCAUGCCGCGUGCAGGAUGAAUGCCUUCGGGUUGUAAACUGCUUUUGUACGGAACGAAAAGACUCUGGUUAAUACCUGGGGUCCAUGACGGUACCGUAAGAAUAAGCACCGGCUAACUACGUG
RNAcentral lists this ribosomal RNA (494 nucleotides) under uncultured bacterium. RNAcentral describes it as "bacterial SSU rRNA". It matches the Rfam family "Bacterial small subunit ribosomal RNA", at positions 21 to 507 of the family's 1533-position model. The record is from RNAcentral.